This 46-nucleotide non-coding RNA is filed under the name Schistosoma margrebowiei. The record is from RNAcentral. Lineage: Eukaryota; Metazoa; Platyhelminthes; Trematoda; Strigeidida; Schistosomatidae.
ACACUACUGAGGAGUCCCACGACAGGAUGAAACGGCCGUUCAGUGU